ACUCCUACGGGAGGCAGCAGUGGGGAAUAUUGCACAAUGGGCGAAAGCCUGAUGCAGCGACGCCGCGUGAGGGAUGACGGCCUUCGGGUUGUAAACCUCUUUCAGUAGGGAAGAAGCGAAAGUGACGGUACCUGCAGAAGAAGCGCCGGCUAACUACGUGCCAGCAGCCGCGGUAAUACGUAGGGCGCAAGCGUUAUCCGGAAUUAUUGGGCGUAAAGAGCUCGUAGGCGGUUUGUCGCGUCUGCCGUGAAAGUCCGGGGCUCAACUCCGGAUCUGCGGUGGGUACGGGCAGACUAGAGUGAUGUAGGGGAGACUGGAAUUCCUGGUGUAGCGGUGAAAUGCGCAGAUAUCAGGAGGAACACCGAUGGCGAAGGCAGGUCUCUGGGCAUUAACUGACGCUGAGGAGCGAAAGCAUGGGGAGCGAACAGGAUUAGAUACCCUGGUAGUCCAUGCCGUAAACGUUGGGCACUAGGUGUGGGGGACAUUCCACGUUUUCCGUACCGUAGCUAACGCAUUAAGUGCCCCGCCUGGGGAGUACGGCCGCAAGGCUAAAACUCAAAGGAAUUGACGG
Molecule: ribosomal RNA, 571 nt
Filed under: uncultured bacterium
Lineage: Bacteria
Description: bacterial SSU rRNA
Rfam family: Bacterial small subunit ribosomal RNA
Source: RNAcentral